This 1554-nucleotide ribosomal RNA is filed under the name Salmonella enterica subsp. enterica serovar Infantis. RNAcentral's name for it is "16S ribosomal RNA". It matches the Rfam family "Bacterial small subunit ribosomal RNA". The record is from RNAcentral. Lineage: Bacteria; Pseudomonadati; Pseudomonadota; Gammaproteobacteria; Enterobacterales; Enterobacteriaceae. RNAcentral also lists the same sequence under 1 other name.
AAAUUGAAGAGUUUGAUCAUGGCUCAGAUUGAACGCUGGCGGCAGGCCUAACACAUGCAAGUCGAACGGUAACAGGAAGCAGCUUGCUGCUUUGCUGACGAGUGGCGGACGGGUGAGUAAUGUCUGGGAAACUGCCUGAUGGAGGGGGAUAACUACUGGAAACGGUGGCUAAUACCGCAUAACGUCGCAAGACCAAAGAGGGGGACCUUCGGGCCUCUUGCCAUCAGAUGUGCCCAGAUGGGAUUAGCUUGUUGGUGAGGUAACGGCUCACCAAGGCGACGAUCCCUAGCUGGUCUGAGAGGAUGACCAGCCACACUGGAACUGAGACACGGUCCAGACUCCUACGGGAGGCAGCAGUGGGGAAUAUUGCACAAUGGGCGCAAGCCUGAUGCAGCCAUGCCGCGUGUAUGAAGAAGGCCUUCGGGUUGUAAAGUACUUUCAGCGGGGAGGAAGGUGUUGUGGUUAAUAACCGCAGCAAUUGACGUUACCCGCAGAAGAAGCACCGGCUAACUCCGUGCCAGCAGCCGCGGUAAUACGGAGGGUGCAAGCGUUAAUCGGAAUUACUGGGCGUAAAGCGCACGCAGGCGGUCUGUCAAGUCGGAUGUGAAAUCCCCGGGCUCAACCUGGGAACUGCAUUCGAAACUGGCAGGCUUGAGUCUUGUAGAGGGGGGUAGAAUUCCAGGUGUAGCGGUGAAAUGCGUAGAGAUCUGGAGGAAUACCGGUGGCGAAGGCGGCCCCCUGGACAAAGACUGACGCUCAGGUGCGAAAGCGUGGGGAGCAAACAGGAUUAGAUACCCUGGUAGUCCACGCCGUAAACGAUGUCUACUUGGAGGUUGUGCCCUUGAGGCGUGGCUUCCGGAGCUAACGCGUUAAGUAGACCGCCUGGGGAGUACGGCCGCAAGGUUAAAACUCAAAUGAAUUGACGGGGGCCCGCACAAGCGGUGGAGCAUGUGGUUUAAUUCGAUGCAACGCGAAGAACCUUACCUGGUCUUGACAUCCACAGAAGAAUCCAGAGAUGGAUUUGUGCCUUCGGGAACUGUGAGACAGGUGCUGCAUGGCUGUCGUCAGCUCGUGUUGUGAAAUGUUGGGUUAAGUCCCGCAACGAGCGCAACCCUUAUCCUUUGUUGCCAGCGGUCCGGCCGGGAACUCAAAGGAGACUGCCAGUGAUAAACUGGAGGAAGGUGGGGAUGACGUCAAGUCAUCAUGGCCCUUACGACCAGGGCUACACACGUGCUACAAUGGCGCAUACAAAGAGAAGCGACCUCGCGAGAGCAAGCGGACCUCAUAAAGUGCGUCGUAGUCCGGAUUGGAGUCUGCAACUCGACUCCAUGAAGUCGGAAUCGCUAGUAAUCGUGGAUCAGAAUGCCACGGUGAAUACGUUCCCGGGCCUUGUACACACCGCCCGUCACACCAUGGGAGUGGGUUGCAAAAGAAGUAGGUAGCUUAACCUUCGGGAGGGCGCUUACCACUUUGUGAUUCAUGACUGGGGUGAAGUCGUAACAAGGUAACCGUAGGGGAACCUGCGGUUGGAUCACCUCCUUACCUUAAAGAAGC